Molecule: non-coding RNA, 174 nt
Organism: Acetobacterium wieringae
Lineage: Bacteria; Bacillati; Bacillota; Clostridia; Eubacteriales; Eubacteriaceae
Source: Rfam
UAUUACGAUAGAGGUGCGGACUUUAAGAUUAACGACGGUGACCAUGGCUAAUGGGAUGACACGUUGUGAAAGGAAAGCUCGCCGAAGGAUUAUUGUUUGCCACCAGUUUUCCUGGGCUUACUGUUAAGAGCAGUAAGACUGUCAUCAUUUUUAUGAUGGAGUGCUAUCUAAAAC